This 486-nucleotide ribosomal RNA is filed under the name uncultured bacterium. Its description in RNAcentral is "bacterial SSU rRNA". It matches the Rfam family "Bacterial small subunit ribosomal RNA", at positions 28 to 507 of the family's 1533-position model. The record is from RNAcentral.
GAUGAACGCUAGCUANAGGCUUAACACAUGCAAGUCGAGGGGCAGCACAGUGUAGCAAUACAUGGGUGGCGACCGGCGCACGGGUGCGUAACGCGUAUCCAACCUUCCCGUUACUCUUGGAUAGCCUUCCGAAAGGGAGAUUAAUACAAGAUGGUAUUCAAAUUCCGCAUGUUAUUUGAAUUAAAGAUUUAUCGGUAACGGAUGGGGAUGCGUGACAUUAGAUAGUAGGCGGGGUAACGGCCCACCUAGUCUACGAUGUCUAGGGGUUCUGAGAGGAAGGUCCCCCACACUGGAACUGAGACACGGUCCAGACUCCUACGGGAGGCAGCAGUGAGGAAUAUUGGUCAAUGGUCGGAAGACUGAACCAGCCAAGUAGCGUGAAGGAUGAAGGUUCUAUGGAUUGUAAACUUCUUUUAUACGGGAAUAAAACACCUUACGUGUAGGGUCUUGUAUGUACCGUAUGAAUAAGCAUCGGCUAACUCCGUG